CGUGCACCAGUGGGGUCCCUCGGCCUGGCCUGCACCCUCUGGCAAUCCAGGACCCCUCGGGGAUGUCAGAGACCAGGUUUUGACCUGAUCCUGCAGGCCAGGCCGAGGGACCCCACUGGUGCACG
RNAcentral lists this microRNA precursor (125 nucleotides) under Myotis brandtii (Brandt's bat). Its description in RNAcentral is "mir-9193 microRNA precursor family". It matches the Rfam family "mir-9193 microRNA precursor family". Lineage: Eukaryota; Metazoa; Chordata; Mammalia; Chiroptera; Vespertilionidae. The record is from Rfam by way of RNAcentral.